AUGGGGGAUCUCGCCGCCGCCGCUGCGGUGGCCCUUGACGACGGCAAGGUAGGAGGCGGCCAGGUACGCCCUCUUCCUUUCCCCGUUCUGAAUCUCCUCCAUAACCCGCUGCAUCUCCUCCCAUCUCAUGUGCCACUGCUUGCUUUGCUUUCUUCCUUCCAUGGGCAGAUGCAGAUCUCAUCUCUUCUUGUUCUGCACGGGCCAGACCACGACCACGGCAAGCGAAAGGAUGCACGACGGGCUGGACGACAAGGUGGAGAUCCUAGACACACGGAGGGGCUACCAAACCGGUGUUGCGGCAAGAACGACUCCGCAGCCCAUACAGGAGGUGGACUGCAUACUGGAACUGCCUCACAUUGGAUGAAAAAUUUGGUUAUUAGUAUUGUUGAUCCCGACCAUGAGCUUGAAUGACUUGUGGUGACGAAGAGCAAGGCCGAGAAGGACUCCAACAAGCCCAAGCGCCCUCUGAGCGCCGUCUUAGUCCUCAUGGACAGCUUCAGGAAGGACUCCAACUUCAAGCAUGUCCCCAUGGUUGGCAAGGGCGGUGGAGAAGGCUCCCUAAUUGCCAAGGCCAAGUACACCAAGAAGAUCGACACCUACGACAACCCACUGGCAGGAGAGGCGUCUGACGACUCUGACAAGUUCUAG
Molecule: ribosomal RNA, 648 nt
Filed under: Triticum aestivum (bread wheat)
Lineage: Eukaryota; Viridiplantae; Streptophyta; Magnoliopsida; Poales; Poaceae
Description: partial small subunit ribosomal RNA
Source: RNAcentral